This is a long non-coding RNA of Hyaena hyaena (striped hyena), 299 nucleotides long. RefSeq lists it as uncharacterized. The transcript has 3 exons. The record is from RefSeq and is a predicted model, not a curated record. NCBI's taxonomy places the organism in Eukaryota, Metazoa, Chordata, Mammalia, Carnivora, Hyaenidae.
ACUGGCGGAGGUCGACGUCCCGGCGGGCAGCAGGCGGUGGGCGUCGCUGCCGCUCUCCGCGUGGCAUGGAGGGCACGGCGGUGGCAGUGUGCGAGAUUUUGAAAUAUUUAAUAAUUCACUGGAAGUGUGAAACACGAGUAUCAAGUGAAGCAUUGCUAGAAGGACAGCUAGUGAUUUCCAUGGAAGCAUUAAAUUCUAAGCACCAGGCAGAUACUCUUCAUUGUAUAACAACGAUUGCUUCAGCAGGAAACGUUUAUGGUGGCUUGGUUCUCAAGAAGUUCCUAAAAGGUAAAGAAUUA